UUUAGGGGCAUUUUCUUUAAAAUUUGUUAAUAUUGCAAUUAGGUCCAUAGGAGGAGUAUAACCCAUUUUCCCUUCCUCCCUCUCCCAUCCCCAUCGAUAUCACCCUCUCCUUCCCUCACACCUCCCAUUUCUGGCCACCUUUCACUACCAGAAGCUUGUUGUGAGCCGUCCUCGACGUCGCCACCUGGUCCCCACCAUUAGUUCCGCCUAAAUCCAACGAGGAGUGGUGUUUUGAGUGGAAGACUCUCCUCUUUGCUACCAUCACCAUAUCACUGCCCUGCAGCCGCUACUUCUCUGAUCCGAUGCUGGAAACGACUUCCUCAUCUUCCAAAACCUAUGACCGAGCUCCCUCGCCUCUAAUGCUGCCGUCUAGCACCGUCCAAGCCUCACCGGAGCUGAAGCUUUCCAGCCUCGAUCUGGUGGCUUUCAAUGAGUUUUAGGCUGUGAUUUUGGUUUUUUCGAACUCCACGCUUCUCAAGCUACGUGUGGGUACCUUUGGAUUUGAUUUUUGACACCGUUGAGUAUACCGACCUUCGGACCGUGGUAUUAUAGAUGUGCAUAUCUGCAGGUGACAGUUAGGCCUUCUGCAGUCUCUAUUUUUUUGGUAGCCCGACUUCCUCCUUCCUUGGGCUUAAUGUAAUUAUUCUACACUGUAUUUCUUACUAUUUGAACUUCUAAUAUACUCCGUAGUAUUUAUUCUAAUGAUGUGACAUGUUAAGCUAUUUGAUGAUGUAGUAACUGAAUAUGUUAUUGAAUUGAUAUAACUUUUGGAAUUUA
Long non-coding RNA from Ricinus communis (castor bean), 777 nucleotides. RefSeq lists it as uncharacterized. The record is from RefSeq and is a predicted model, not a curated record. The transcript is spliced from 2 exons. Lineage: Eukaryota; Viridiplantae; Streptophyta; Magnoliopsida; Malpighiales; Euphorbiaceae.